CUCUUGUCUGACACCACGUAAGAUGGCGCCUUUGCUUCUCCUUCACCUUCCUCCAUGACUGUGAGGCCUCCCCAGCCAUGUGGAACUAUCUGUUGUUCAUAGGCAUGAGGUGAACACGCGCAUUUUCCAGCCAGGAGAACGUUCCGCUCAGCACGCACACCUGGAGACAGCCCAGCCCUGAGCAGGAAAUGCCUGCUGGGCUUGAAGAGGGCUUCCUGGGGUGUGAUGGAUGAUUGGGUUCUUUUUAAAGAAUAGGAGGCCCCAGUCAGCUUUCCAAGUCCCACACACAGGAGGUCGGGGGGACAGGCCCCUGGCCAGCUCCCAUCCUGCUGUGGUCCCAGCACCCCCAGACCUCCCGGCAGCUGACCCAGACUCUUGGGACCUGGCACCCUCAUCCCUGGAGGUCAACACUCCAAUGUCCGCUGGGCGUCUGACCUGGAGGACAGGGCUCCAAGGCACAGCCCAUGGCUGAGAGUGAAGAAACGGCGCCCUCAUGGCGGACCCUCCACCAAGCGGCCAGUGAACGAAGUGUGUUUGUACGGGAGGGCUUCCAGCCGCCGCGACCCCCACCAUCGAGAAACCAUCCUCUGGGCCCACCGCAGAACUCACUGUGCCCACAGCGGGGCUCUCUGGGGAGGGUCCUCGGAGCACAGUGGCGAGUGGACGGCACCCUGACCAUCCCGGGCAGGCUUUCCAAACUCGGCUGGUGGACAGCUUCCCUGCUGGGUCCCUGAAGUGAGGCCAGGUCACCCACAAGCCAGGAGCAUUGGCCGCACCCUGGCAGCCCUUGGCAUCCUCUCUCAUUGGGGCGUCACGUUGUCCCAGGGAGCCAGGCUGGUGACACUGGGGUCUGGAAAGAGGGGCCUAGCCCUGUCACACACACUGUCAGCCCUCCAAGGUGGCACGGGGACGGCGAGGCCGACAGCUGCUUGUGCGGAACUGGGCUGGUCCCAUCGGCUCUGGAAUCAGACCCCCUGAGGCUUGGAAAUAAGAUGGACCGGGGUCAGGCGAUGCUCAGUUGAAGGCAGACACCGCUCCCCACUUUGCUCCACAAGCACAAGCUCUUCCCAGCCAAGGCACAGCAGGGCAGGGGCCGCCAGGCACAGUGAAGGGGGCCAGGGCCUGCAGUCCCCCAUCCAGAGCUGGGCAGGGAGCCAUGCAGGCUGCGAGGUGGGGUGGCUGCUGCAGCUCCCAAGGGGUCUGGUGUGGACUAGAGGGCGAGUGGAGAACCUGGGACCUCUGCAGGGCGCACAGCCAUUUCCACACACAGCCCACUUCAGACCACUUGCUGCGGUGGUCACUGGUGGUCAGCCCAUAGCAAAGCGUCUGGCCCUGUGCCCCCACCCUGCCAGCACCAGGCUGGACAGUCCCCAGCGGCUGCACGGUGGCCUGGGCAGCUGUGAUGGGAGAGGCCCCCACAGACGAGGCCCCAAGUCGGCUCCUGGCUCUGCCCUGGACCGGCUCUGGGUUCUCGAGAGGCUGGCCCAGCCCUGCGCUGCUCUGAGCCAUGCGGACCCCGUGGGGAGGACCCCAUACUGCAGAUCCCUCACCGGUAGCCCCCACUCCAGGCCAGACUGAAACACCGCGGUGGGCUCCUGGAGCACCCCCCACGCCCGGGGCUGGCUGGCCUGGGAGGAGGGGACACAAGAACUUGGGACGGCAGUUCUCAAAAUGCAGUCUGGGGACCGCAGAGGUUCCUGAGAUGCUCUGGGGGGUCUGUGAGGCCAAACUUAUUUUGAUGAUGAAACUGACACAUUAUCCGUCUUUCUCAUUCUCGCUCUCACGAAUGUUCCAAGUACAAAACCCACGAUGCAGUUUCAGAUCUCACGUCCCAACAGACCUUUAAGACAGGACCACUUGUUGUGUUUGGGGAUCGAAUCGAAGCUUAUCCACAGUUAUCUGAGAGGACUGCCGAGGCACUCCUCCCUCCAAGUGCGCGGUGAGGCCAGACUUUCCACAGAUUUGCCCAAAACCCCAUUGCAGUGGCUUGAACACAGAAGCAGCUCCGAGAACCAGCUGUCUCCCGUGAAGCCAGACACCGAACAGACUGGAAAAGGGAAAAACAGUGCAUAUUCCUCACAGAUCUUCCGUUCGGGAAACGAUAAUUUAAUUGUUUUAAUUAAAAACAUAAUAUGUGAAAAUGUAGUGGGUUUAUCCUUGUUAAUGUGAAACGGAUCGAUACAUCAGUAUUUUUGGAUUUCUGUUUUAAUUUCUGAUAUAAUCAAUGUUGAUAGACAUAACUUGUGCAAACAAAGCUCUUCACGGUCUCCCAAGAUCUGUGGGUGUGGGGUGGGAUCGUGAGACCACAGUGUGGGGAGCAGGUCCCUCGGUCACCGUCCAGGCUCGGCAGCCCCUCGGCACGGGGCAUCCGCGUCCAGAGUCCUACAAGAAGGAGCCUCAGAGAACAGAGCCCCUGGCGCCCCAGCGUGAGAAGCUUCCAAUGCUUUCUCAGCAUCUUUUUCCAGAUAAAAAUGCCAGCCCUUCCUCUCCAAAGAUCUGAACCGCCUAGGGUUUUCUUGGCCUGGCAUCACGCCUUCCCUCAUCCGGCACCAACCCUUCCCUCCCGUCUCUAUGGUUUCUCCCGCUCUUUAUCCUCACAGCCCUGUGGAAAGACAUGGUCUGUGUGCCUGGAAAACGAUGCAAGGCCGUGGUGCCUGUGACGUCCUCAGACUCACACCCCAAUGCGGGGGACUGAACGUUUGUGUUCUCCCCAGUUCACAGGUUGAAGGCCUUGCCCCCAGUGCAGCUGUGUCUGGACACUGGGCCUCUGGGAAGUGAUGAUGGUUAAAUGAUGUCAGGAGGAUGGAGCCCGGGUCGGCUACGGCUGUGGCCCCAGUGACGCCGGUGUACUCAGGCGCCUGCCAGCUGGGAAGAGGCCUCACCAAGCCCAGCCCUGCAGCACCUUGGCCUUGGCCUUCCAGCCUCCGGAUGCGAGAGGAUAAAUGUCUCCUGCUGAAGCCGCCAGGUCUGUGUUCUCCUUGUGGCUGCAGCAGCCGCACUAAGACACUGGCCACACCUGGUUUCUCCACAGCCGCUGCAGCCACGAGGAGAAGGCCACCCUCUCGCGUUCAAACACAGGUGCUUUUUAAUUUCCAUAGUCAGUUGCGUCAAGGUGUAACUUACAUAAGAGAAAGUGCAGAUCGUAAGGGUUAGACUUCGAUGCCUUCUUGCAGGUGCACCCACCGUGGAACCACAGCCACAGUGGAGCUGUGGAAUGUGCCCGUCACCCACAGCCCGCCUCUGAGUCACUGCCGUCACCCACAGCCCUGCCCCGACCCACAGCCUGCGUCUCAGUCACUGCCCAUCACCCACAGCCCUGCAUCUCAGUCACUGCCCGUCACCCACAGCCCUGCCUCUCAGUCCCUGCCGUCACCCACAGCCCUGCCUCUCAGUCACUGCCCGUCACCCACAGCCCUGCCUCUCAGUCACUGCCCGUCACCCACAGCCCUGCCUCUCAGUCACUGCCCGUCACCCACAGCCCUGCCUCUCAGUCCCUGCCGUCACCCACAGCCCUGCCUCUCAGUCACUGCCCGUCACCCACAGCCCUGCCUCUCAGUCCCUGCCGUCACCCUGGCUGCUCCUGGAGUUGCACAGAAAUGGAAUUGUGUGCUUGGAUGCCUCCGUGCCCAGCCCCUGUCCCUCCGCGAUUCCUCCUUGCUGCUUUGCGGAGCAGUUGUUGGCCGCUCACAGCUGGGCAGGGCCCGUCCUGGCAACAGACCCCUCCUGCUGCGGUGGUUCCCUCGGUGGUGGACGGGGCUGUCGGCACAUUUUAGCUGUCACCAAUAAAGCUGCUGUGAACAUCCCUGUACACGUCGUUGUGUGGAAUGAGUUUGGUGUGUCUUAGGGAACUCCUUGGGAGUGGAAUGCCUGAGUCACCAGGUGAGGACAAACUCAGCCUUUUAUGAAACUGCCAAGUGGUUGUGACACUUAAACUCCCACCAGCACUGUGUCAUCGUCUGGCAGCCCUGCAACCCCCCAACGUCUGGUAUCUUUUUAAUUUGAGAUGUUCCAGUGGGUAUGUAUUGGUGUGUCACCGUGGUUUUAAUUCACGUUAAAUUAACUACUUGGGCUACACACACACACACACACACACGCACGCAUAUAUUUGGUAUUAUACCAAUACCACGGUCUUAUUUACUAUAGCUUUAUAGUAAGUCUUAAAAUUAAGUAGUUUAAAACAUACAACUUUGUUCUAAGAUUACUUUAUUCAAAGCCUUUUGAAUUACCAUAUACAUAUUAGAAUCAGCUUUUUGAUGUCCAUGAAAAAGACACUGAUUGGCAUCACAUUAAAUCCAAAUAUCAAAGAUUUAAUGAGUUUUGAGGAAAAACUCUAAGCUUAAAAAGUAGGGUUUCCUAAUUCGUGAAUACAAUAUAUUUCUCUACUUUUUAGGUCUUUAAUUCUCAGCAAUGAUUUUUAGUACGCAAUGUACUGAUCUUGUCGUAUUUUCUUUUUUUCUUUCUUCUUUUUUUGAGACAGGGCUUCUCUCUGUCGCCCAGGCUGGAGUACAGGGAUGCGAUCUUGACUCACUGCAGCCUCAACCUCCUGGACUCAAGCCAUUCUCCCCCCUCAGCCUCCCCAGUAGCUGGGACUACAGGCGCCCACCACCACGCCCGGCUAAUUUUGUAUUUUUUGUAGAGACUGGGGUUUCUCCACCUCAUCCAGACUGGUCUUAAACUCCUGGGCUCAAGCAAUCCACCCACCUCAGCCUCCCACCGUGCUGAGAUUAUAGGCAUGAGCCACCGCGCCUGGCCUAUUUUCUUAGAUUUAUCCCUAAGUAAUACAUUUUCUUUGAUGCUAUUGUAAGGCCUUUCUUUGAUGCUACAAUAAGUCCUUUUAAAUUUCUCAUUUUCCAGUUAUUCACUUUCACUGCCAGAAUAUGCGAUGGGCUCUCGGGUAUGCAGUGUGCCAGUCAGCCCCACCCUGACACAGCGGAGCAGAGAGAGACGGUCCUGACGGAGCAGGCCAGGGAUCAGCACCGCCCACUGGGCCUCUGACCCCUCUGACCCAUGACCUCCAAGCCCUGCGGUCAGUCUGUGCCCAGGCCCAGUCUGUGCUGGAGCCCUCCCUGCAGCCCCCUCUGGCAGGACUUCAGAGGGAUCCCCAGCUCCUGGCCCACAUGGCCGCAUCUGGCCCAAACACACAUUCCUUUCGCCACUCUCCUCUGAAUGGAAUCUGGCUUGCCCCGCACAGCCUCUGCCUCCCUCUGCCCCGCACAGCACCCUCCCUCCCUCUGCCCCGCAUAGACCCUCCCUCCCUCUGCC
Molecule: long non-coding RNA, 5262 nt
Filed under: Homo sapiens (human)
Lineage: Eukaryota; Metazoa; Chordata; Mammalia; Primates; Hominidae
Description: non-protein coding lnc-COL6A1-3:11
Source: RNAcentral